This 445-nucleotide ribosomal RNA is filed under the name uncultured bacterium. Its description in RNAcentral is "bacterial SSU rRNA". It matches the Rfam family "Bacterial small subunit ribosomal RNA", at positions 34 to 475 of the family's 1533-position model. The record is from RNAcentral.
GAAUUCACUAGUGAUUCAGGCCUAACACAUGCAAGUCGAACGGCAGCACGGACUUCGGUCUGGUGGCGAGUGGCGAACGGGUGAGUAAUACAUCGGAACGUGCCCAGUCGUGGGGGAUAACGUAGCGAAAGCUACGCUAAUACCGCAUACGAUCUAAGGAUGAAAGCGGGGGACCGUAAGGCCUCGCGCGAUUGGAGCGGCCGAUGGCAGAUUAGGUAGUUGGUGGGGUAAAGGCUCACCAAGCCGACGAUCUGUAGCUGGUCUGAGAGGACGACCAGCCACACUGGGACUGAGACACGGCCCAGACUCCUACGGGAGGCAGCAGUGGGGAAUUUUGGACAAUGGGCGCAAGCCUGAUCCAGCCAUUCCGCGUGCAGGAUGAAGGCCCUCGGGUUGUAAACUGAUUGGUACGGAACGAAAAGGCUCUGGUUAAUACCUGGGGCUC